This 251-nucleotide ribosomal RNA is filed under the name uncultured prokaryote. Its description in RNAcentral is "partial 16S rRNA". It matches the Rfam family "Bacterial small subunit ribosomal RNA", at positions 525 to 775 of the family's 1533-position model. The record is from RNAcentral.
ACGUAGGAGGCGAACGUUAUCCGGAUUUACUGGGCGUAAAGCGCGUGUAGGUGGUUCUGUAAGUAGGGCGUGCAAGCUCCUGUCUCCCCUGGUAUCGGCCGUUCUAAACUACAGAACUAGAGGAUGGUAGAGGGAGGUGGAAUUCCAGGUGUAGCGGUGGAAUGCGCAGAUAUCUGGAGGAACACCAGUGGCGAAGGCGGCCUCCUGGACCAUUCCUGACACUCAGACGCGAAAGCUAGGGUAGCAAACGG